RNAcentral lists this ribosomal RNA (418 nucleotides) under uncultured eukaryote. RNAcentral describes it as "SSU rRNA". It matches the Rfam family "Eukaryotic small subunit ribosomal RNA", at positions 592 to 1003 of the family's 1831-position model. The record is from RNAcentral.
CAAUAGCGUAUAUUAAAGUUGUUGCGGUUAAAAAGCUCGUAGUUGGAUUUCUGCUGAGGACGACCGGUCCGCCCUCUGGGUGAGUAUCUGGUUCGGCCUGGGCAUCUUCUUGGAGAAGCGUAGCUGCACUUGACUGUGUGGUGCGGUAUCCCAGGGACUUUUUACCUUUUUUGGGGAAAAAUUAGAGUGUUUCAAGCAGGCACACGCCUUGAAUACAUUAGCAUGGAAUAAUAAGAUAGGACCUCGGUUCUAUUUUGUUGGUUUCUAGAGCUGAGGUAAUGAUUAAUAGGGAUAGUUGGGGCGAUUCGUAUUUAACUGUCAGAGGUGAAAUUCUUGGAUUUGUUAAAAGACGGACUACUGCGAAAGCAUUUGCCAAGGAUGUUUUCAUUGAUCAAGAACGAAAGUUAGGGGAUCGAAG